This 449-nucleotide ribosomal RNA is filed under the name uncultured bacterium. Its description in RNAcentral is "bacterial SSU rRNA". It matches the Rfam family "Bacterial small subunit ribosomal RNA", at positions 330 to 795 of the family's 1533-position model. The record is from RNAcentral.
CCCAGACUCCUACGGGAGGCAGCAGUGGGGAAUAUUGCACAAUGGGGGGAACCCUGAUGCAGCGACGCCGCGUGAGUGAAGAAGUAUCUCGGUACGUAAAGCUCUCUCAGCAGGGAAGAACAAUGACGGUACCUGACUAAGAAGCACCGGCUAAAUACGUGCCAGCAGCCGCGGUAAUACGUAUGGUGCAAGCGUUAUCCGGAUUUACUGGGUGUAAAGGGAGCGCAGGCGGCGCGUUAAGCCUGGUGUGAAAGCCCGCGGCCCAACCGCGGGACUGCAUUGGGAACUGGCGCGCUGGAGUGCCGGAGGGGUAGGCGGAAUUCCUAGUGUAGCGGUGAAAUGCGUAGAUAUUAGGAGGAACACCAGUGGCGAAGGCGGCCUACUGGACGGUGACUGACGCUGAGGCUCGAAAGCGUGGGGAGCAAACAGGAUUAGAUACCCCCGUAACU